GCAGGCGGCCCCAGACUGGGGUGCGGCGGGCGGGGGGCUUGAUUGGGAGUGGAUGAUGGGCGUGGAGGGAACGUCUGCGGCCGGGGCCCCGGCGAGCGGCCCCUCCCCCACGCCCCAGCACUUCCAUCCUCGGGCGGAACCUCGCUCCGGCUCUCGGCGGGCCUGCCCCGCGCUCGGGCCCGCUCCCUCCCCUGCCCGCCCGCGUCUCGGUGCGCGCUCCAGCCCGGGAGAGGCGGAGGGGCCCGGUUCUGCCGCCGCCGCCAUCUUGCGGUCCCGCGGGGGCGCCUCCUGGUGCUGCCCGCGCUGCUGCCCGCGCCUGGCACUUGUCCUUGGCCCCUGAGGAACGACGGGCGUGGCCUGGGAGGGCGUGGGUGGGUGGUGACCUUCCCGCGUGCGCUCCGGUCUGCGCUGGAGACGGGGGCUCUGGGGCUGGCGCAAGUGCGUCCGUCACCCGCGCGGGUGGUCGGGAGGCGGGAGGGGAGGCGAGCAGCGGCGCGGCGGGCCCUGGACGCGGCUCCGGGAGAGAACCACCCCGCGGCCCGCGCUCCCUCCAUCCACCUCCCGGGAAGCGCUGGGUGGAGCCCGCCCUCGGUUCUCGCCGAGGGGGUGGCUACCUGCCUUCCUGCCCCGCUGAUGAGUCGGCUGUCAGGUCCGGGGGGAACCGGGGCGGCGGAGGAGCCCAGAAAGUCUUCUGGUUCUGACUUAGCCGGCGGCGUUGGCGGAGACCCAGGCGCGCGGCUGGAAGGCCCUGCGUCAGCCCCAGGAUGGGCAGUAGUAGGCGGGUAGUAGACGCCUUGUGCCCUCCGCUGGGACACCUCGGCUUACCUUCCGCGCGGGGCCGACCUGCUGUUUGUCGGCUCUUGUGGAGCCCUUGAAUGGAGCCCUCUCGCUGCGGAGUCUUCAGUGUUCGCGGCUUUUGCCUUCACGUUUGUGGUUUCUCAGCCGACCCCCGCGCCAGAAGGCUGAUCCGGUGUCACUCGGCUCUGAGCGCCGUGGAUUGAUUUUGCAGCGAUGCCCACAGGCAUUGAUCUGACUUGGUGAUCGGAGGCACCGAAGCGGCUCUCCGGCCCAGUUGCUUUUUAAUACGUAGGGUACCCUAGGGAAGAGAGUUAAACUGCACAGUUUCUUUUUAGAAGUAGUGAAAGUGUGUGACGAUCCCAAGUAGAAAGCGGAUUCCUUCCUAGCUGCAGUUCAGUGUGAAAUUUUAAAAAGUAAUCUAAAGUCUGAGAUUUCAGUGAGUUUGAAAAAAUAUUAAAGAAAGCAAAUACUGACCUCAAGUUGAUAUACCUGCUCAGGUUUUUAGGAGUGAGUGUACUAAUGUCUUCAUCUUACUUUAGAAUGCAUAAAAAAUAGGAUGGAGAGAUGAGCAGACAGAGAUGGAUAGAUUGUUAUGUCUAAAGUAAUUAGAACGAAAUGUUAAUUUUAGAAUUUAGGUAAAUGGAUAUGAUUUUUCACUGUGCAGUUAUUUCAGUUUCUCUUUAUGAAAUUUUUCAAAAUGUUGGGGAAAAGUCAACUGAACUCUUAUUUCUCCCCAUCAAUUUUCUUUGCAACUAAACUCAGCUUGGCAUUCAAGAAAACUUUAAUGCAAUUUACAUCAAAAUAUGGAUGGAUGAUAAACAUUUAAAAAUUGUUUACUCAGAGUGGUUUUACUAUUAGCUGUUUCUAGUUUAAUGGGGUUCCUUUUAAGAUUGGGAGGUUUGGACAAUAAAGGUCCCAUUACUUAGUAAGAAGUCAUUACUCUAAAUACUGGAAUUUUGGAUAUAAAACCUGAAUAUAAAGGACAUUUUAUGCCUGAAAUACAUUUUUAGGCAGAGGAGGCAGGACAGUCCGCUUUAGGACAUCCUUUCUGAGUGAGCUACCCUAACUUUUUCCUACCUUUGAGAUUUCAGGUUCCAAGUUUUUUUUUGUAUGGCGAACACUUUUUAUAUAAAGGCCAUAUUUGUAUAUGUUAUAUUUCUGUCUGAUAGGAUUUGGGGCCUGGAAUAGGAUUUUGGUUUAUUGGCAAUGACAUUUGUAAGUGGAGUGAGGACAGAGUACUUAGUGACAGAAAAUGUUAUAGUCCUUUAAAAGGGGUACUAAAGGAGAGGUCAACCCAUGUAAUUAAAAGGUCAAGUUAUUUUUAUUGUAGUUCCCUCCCUGCCCACCUCCCCGUAAAAGAUUGCAAAUAGAUGUAACUUGAAUUAUGUGGAAUUUUCUUGUUUUUAUGGACUUUUCUUACAUAUAAACAGUGAAAUUUCAUCUCUAACAUAGGAAGUAUGUGUCAGGUGGUUCUUGUGAUUGGUGACUAGUAUACUAUCAGAUAACUUUACAAUGGAUUAUUCCAGUAAUUAAGCAUCUAUGUUGGACAAAUGACAGGAUUUUCUUUCUUCAAAAAAAAAAAAGGUUUUAUUACCUUUUGUAACUUUUAUUUUUAUUGUUGAUGCUAUUAUAGAUGUCCCUCCUAUCUCCACCCAGCCCCAGCCCCCCUUCCCUCUGUCUGUCACUUUAUUGUAUGUGUCUAUAGGCUAGCUUUUCUAAAAAAAAUUAAAAGUUUGUUUUGUAUAAAGGAAAACUAUGUAAGGAAUUAUCAAAAGUAAAUGCUCAUGUAAUCAAUGCUCAGGACAAGAAAUAGAACUUGGCCAGCAUUCCAGAACUCUCCUUCUACCCUUUCCUAGUUACUACCUCCUUUCUCUGUUAAGUUAACCCCUAUCCUAGCUGUUCGUAACCAUUAAUUUUUCUUUUUUAAUAUGUUUUUAUUGAUUUUUCGGGAGAGAGGGAUAUGGUGAUAGAAACAUCAAUGAUGAGAGAGAAACAUCAUUGAUUGGCUGCCUCCUGCAUGCCCCCUACUGGGGGAUUGAGCCUACAACCUGGGCAUGUGCUCCGACCUGGAAUUGAACCAGUGACCUCUUGGACCAUGGAUCUAUGCUCAACCUCUAAGCCACAUCAGCCGAGCUAAUUUGUUUUCUUACUGGUUUAAUCACUUAAGCAUUGAAGAGGAUAAGUUAUUCAAUUAGUAAAGCAAGAGAUUAUUAACACAUUGUGGACCAGUAGUUUUAUUGCUUGCUUUACCUAGUGGCCAGAUAAGUUUCUAUUGAAUGAGUACAAAUUUUUUUUUUUACAUAAAUGUUAAAGGCAUACUUUAAAAUUAAAUAUCCAUUGCAUUUUAAAGUUAUUUAUUAUAUGUUCGUACAAGCUAAUGUCUGUUUAAAGUAUGAUACUUUGUAAAACACUAUGUAAUAUGCAGUGAGAAUUCUGAUGAUCCGUCCGCAAUGUGUUAAUAUAAUGCAGUGUUUUUAAACACUACGAGACACAGUGUCCCAUUUUAAUAUUUUAUAUUUUGUAAUGUCCUUUUUACCAUCCCAAAAUGAAAUUCAUAUAAGAAAUUACCUGGCAACUAAUUAAAAUUUUAAUAUAAUUCCCUAACUAUAACAUAAAGGAGAAAUAAAAAGAAAGUAAAAUUUUAAAAAAGUAUGUAUUUUGUUUUGUAAAUGUUUGGGCACAUAUGUACUAGAAGUUAUAAUGAAGUAGUAGCCAGAUGCUUGUGACCUACUUAUAAUAAACUAGAGGCCUGGUGCACAGGAUUCGUGCUCUGGUGGGGGACAUGGCCUGCAGGACUCAGCCCGUUGUAGGUGCGCUACUCAUCCCCAUCAGUCGAGCGGCGCUCCCACUGUGGGAGCGCACUGACCACCAGGGGGCAGCUUCUGUGUUGUCUGUCCCCUGGUGGUGUGUGUGUCAUAGUGACUAGUCAACGGGUCAUCUGGUCGUUCUGCCGUUCAGUUGCUGGGCUUUAUUAUAUAGGAUAAGUUUGCAUUUAAGAAAAGUAAGGCAAGCCAGCUGGCAUGGCUCAGUGGUUGAGCAUCCACCUAUGAACCUGUGUGCAGGAGGCAGCUGAUCAAUGAUUCUCUCUUAUCAUUGAUGUUUCUAUCUCUCUCUCCCUCUCCCUUCCUCUCUGAAAUCAAUAAAAAUGUUUUAAAAAAGAAAAGGAAGGCAAGAGUUAUAUCUGAAUAGAGGGCUGACUGCUUUUAACAUUUUUGUAAUGGCAAAAUAAGAAUAUUUAUGCAUAUGGGUAGAAUUGUGAAUGUGUCACAACUCUCUGCGGAAUGUUACAGAUAUGUUGUAGUGAUGAUUCAAAUAUCUUGAGUGACAUUGCAGUUGUUAGAAUAAUUUUUUGUAAUGGUAAAUUUGCUUUUAAACUUUUGGAAGGAAGAAAACAUUUUUUUUUCCUGUUUUUCACAAUAGGUAAAUUUGAAAAAGGCAUUUUUCAUCAUUAUUAAUUUUUAGAGCGGUAUUUGAAAAUUUGGUGGGAUUAGGAGCAUAUUACUUCAUUGUAUGGGUCUCCCCUGGCAUUGCAGGGUGUCUACCAUAUUGGUCCAUUUUCCCCAACAACAGUACCACCUAGUCAUAAUGUCAGGCAAAAAUAACGGACAGGGAUAGUAUUACUCUGGGACUUAGGAUUGUUUCAUAGCAAGUAAAUAAUGUAGAUUUUUUUUCCCUCUGCUUUUGAGUGUUGGUAAAGAUAGAUUUUUUAUUAGGUCUUUUUAACCUGCAGCCUUCAGGGGUCCAGGUCUCCCUCCCACCCCUACCUAAUCUCCUUAUCUCACCCUUAUCCCCCAAAAUUCAGUGUAAAAUUGUUGUGAAUAUUUGUCUUUGUAUGUUUUUCUGGGCUACUGCAUAUAACUUCGAGAUUCUCAAAGGGUUCUGUGACCCAAAACAGCGGACCAGAUAACUUCUUUCUUGUCGAGAUCUCUUAAUAGCUGUUAAAUCUGGUUAUUCUGCUGAUGGUCAUUAGUACUUGCUAAUU
Long non-coding RNA from Myotis daubentonii (Daubenton's bat), 4780 nucleotides. RefSeq lists it as uncharacterized. NCBI's taxonomy places the organism in Eukaryota, Metazoa, Chordata, Mammalia, Chiroptera, Vespertilionidae. The record is from RefSeq and is a predicted model, not a curated record.